AACUUGUGGUAACGGAUCACUUGGUUCUGGCACCGAUGAAGAACGCAACGAAAUGCGAUAAGUAAUGUGAAUUGCAGAAUUCAGUGAAUCAUCGAAUCUUUGAACGCACAUUGCGCCCCCUGGUAUUCCGGGGGGCAUGCCUGUUCGAGCGUCAUUACAACCCUCAAGCAAUGCUUGGUGUUGGGCUCCGCCGCCGACCCGGCGGGCCCUAAAACCAGUGGCGGUGCCGUCGAGGCCCUGAGCGCAGUAAACAUCCUCGCUAUAGGGACCCGGCGGUCGCCGGCCACCAACCCCCACCUCCUCAGUUUGACCUCGGAUCAGGUAGGGAUACCCGCUGAACUUAAGCAUAUCAAUAAGCGGAGGCU
This 365-nucleotide unclassified non-coding RNA is filed under the name uncultured Helotiales. Its description in RNAcentral is "sequence contains ITS2". The stretch from base 1 to 154 matches the Rfam family "5.8S ribosomal RNA". Lineage: Eukaryota; Fungi; Ascomycota; Leotiomycetes; Helotiales. The record is from RNAcentral.